CAAGUCGAACGGUAACGCGAGGAGCUUGCUCCUUGGCGACGAGUGGCGGACGGGUGAGUAAUACUUAGGAAUCUGCCCAGUAGUGGGGGACAACCCGGGGAAACUCGGGCUAAUACCGCAUACGCCCUACGGGGGAAAGCGGGGGACCUUCAGACCUCGCGCUAUUGGAUGAGCCUAAGUCGGAUUAGCUUGUAGGUGGGGUGAAAGCCCACCUAGGCGACGAUCCGUAGCUGGUCUGAGAGGACGAUCAGCCACACUGGGACUGAGACACGGCCCAGACUCCUACGGGAGGCAGCAGUGGGGAAUAUUGGACAAUGGGCGCAAGCCUGAUCCAGCAAUGCCGCGUGUGUGAAGAAGGCCUGCGGGUUGUAAAGCACUUUCAGUAGGGAAGAAAAGCCUGAGGUUAAUACCCUCGAGUCUUGACGUUACCUACAGAAGAAGCACCGGCUAACUCCGUGCCAGCAGCCGCGGUAAUACGGAGGGUGCGAGCGUUAAUCGGAAUUACUGGGCGUAAAGCGCGCGUAGGCGGUAAUGUAAGUCGGAUGUGAAAGCCCCGGGCUCAACCUGGGAAUUGCACUCGAUACUGCACUACUAGAGUAUGGGAGAGGGAAGUGGAAUUUCCGGUGUAGCGGUGAAAUGCGUAGAUAUCGGAAAGAACACCAGUGGCGAAGGCGAC
Molecule: ribosomal RNA, 676 nt
Filed under: uncultured bacterium
Lineage: Bacteria
Description: bacterial SSU rRNA
Rfam family: Bacterial small subunit ribosomal RNA
Source: RNAcentral